AAAACGUUGGGUUGUUUUUUCAACCCAACUGCUGGGUUGAGCCAGUUGGGUUAUUUUGUUGGGUUGUUUUAUCAGUGUUGGGUAGUUUUUGUGUAACCCAACUUGUUGGGUUAUAUGUUGGGUAAUUUUGAAGCAGAGCCAACUUAAUAGAUACAUAUAGCUGUUUCUCAAUAUUACUUUCUCUAGUCCACAAAAUGUAUUUUAAACAUAAGUUCAGGCGAGAAUAUAUAUGUAUAAUGUUCAAAUUUGCAGUCGGUUUGUAAAGUGAACGCCAAUUUUAAAGUUUAAUUUCAAACAGUCGGAAUGUUACCGGCGCGACCACCGGGUGUCAGUGUUGUUCUUCCCCAGAGAGAACUUCUCCCUUCCCCCACACAGACACGUCAGACUCCUCCUGCCACAGCACGCUACCUGACGCGGGAAUUUAACAUCACCUCAGGAUUCAUAAACGGUUUUUCAUCGACUUCUCUUUGAUUUAUUUGAAGGAAAAGACCCUGAUGGAUAAAAGAUGGAUAUUUUCUCCUGGAGAAGCUAAAACAAUGUCACUUUGAGGUUCUGAUACCAGCUUUUACAAAGUUAUUUACAGAGUUCACAAGACUUCUCUGUGUUAUUCCCUGACCAUGCCGAAAAGCUAUUUGAAACUUGGGCACUGCAUUUUACAGACAGAAUCCUGCAACUUCCCAGCCAAGAACCAGGAGCAUCAACAAAUCACCUACAGAACCCCAUGAUGAUAUUCCAACUCAUGUCUACAAAAGUGGGAAGAAAAUCUUAAGUUUAUGUUGGGACCAACAUGGUUGCAUUCUUCUGAGAGGCUGAGGUGACAAAACCAUUCCCAUUUGUCCUUGGAUUGG
This is a long non-coding RNA of Paramisgurnus dabryanus, 848 nucleotides long. RefSeq lists it as uncharacterized. The record is from RefSeq and is a predicted model, not a curated record. Lineage: Eukaryota; Metazoa; Chordata; Actinopteri; Cypriniformes; Cobitidae.